UUUCGCAAUGCCCGAAAGGGUGACAAUGCGACGCCGCGUGAGCGAUGAAGGCCUUCGGGUUGUAAAGCUCUGUCAGCUCGGAUGAACGCAAGGGGAUCAACACCCCCCUUGUCUGACAGUACGAGCAGAGGAAGCUUCGGCUAACUCCGUGCCAGCAGCCGCGGUAAUACGGAGGAAGCAAGCGUUGUUCGGAUUUACUGGGUGUAAAGGUCAUGUAGGCGUCUUACUAAGUCGGAUGUGAAAUCCCUUAGCUCAACUAAGGAACUGCAUUCGAUACUGGUAGGAUUGAGUACGAGAGAGGUAAGCGGUGAAAUGCGUAGAUAUCAGGAGGAACGCCGGUGGCGAAAGCGACUCUCUGGUCUGUUACUGACGCUGAGGCGCGAGAGCUAGGGGAGCAAACGGGAUUAGAUACCCCGGUAGUCCUAGCCGUAAACGAUGGGCACUAAGUAGAGGGGUUU
Molecule: ribosomal RNA, 458 nt
Filed under: uncultured anaerobic ammonium-oxidizing bacterium
Lineage: Bacteria
Description: bacterial SSU rRNA
Rfam family: Bacterial small subunit ribosomal RNA
Source: RNAcentral